AUCACGUGCAAGCGGUGUGGACAGCCUGCAUUUCACUCCUUUAACCUGUUCAGCUCCUGCAAGGUGAAAAACAGCUCAGUAUUUUUGCAUCAGGACUUCAGUUUUUCAACAGAUCAUCUUCCUGCUGGGGUCUUGCAUCACUAUAGGAGGAUAGGAGCUGCUGGCUGAAAACAGGGAGAGCUCAAGCACACAACAGGAGUCAGUUGCAUCAGGUAUGAAGAAGUUACCUUGGUUCAAAGUCUCUUUGAACAAAAAAUGAGGAUCAAAGGAGAGCAAAAGGCAAAGAUGAAAACAGGAACAAUUCAGCGGAAAUGCAGAGAAGGGCCUUUCGCUAAAGGCAAAAAAAAUAAAUGAAACAAAACCCACUGGACGUGAACUCCAGUGCCCCUGAAUGAAAGCCCAUCCCUAACUCAGGAGCCUGAGAAACCAAACUAUGAAAAAGUAGCUGUGACAACACAGAGCAGUCAGAUUCAUUGUGAACUUUUCUUUCAUUGACCACACUCAAGGGAAUCCAAGGAAAAUGGAACAAGUGUGGCUGGAGAAAAUUUAAAAAAUUGUUCUAUGGCAAAGUAGAGACCUGGAAACGAAAGAGAGAUUUGGGAAGCCACUGCGGUAACUGAGUCCAAGGAGUGAUUUCAGUGAAAUGAACUGGGAACCCUGCCUCAUUAGAAGUAAUGAUAUGUUCAGUUCUCCUGAAGCUGUUUUCAAAUCAUGCUCUAACAGUGCUGCAUUUGCACUGUUUCAAAUUUGUGCUGAAGACAGUUAAUUCACAUAGAUGGAGAAGGCCAGAUGGAUGGCUUGACCUUGGAACUUGGCCUGGAAGGUAUUCUUAGUCUAAGCAAGAAAAGCACUGUUCAUUUCGCAUAGCAAAGCCUGAGAAGAGGGCAUGAGAAACCCAGGGAUGCACUGGUGACCUGCUUGUAUUUUCUGUUCACUUAAAGCCCCCUCGAGCUUCAAAUUGAGUCAUUUAUCCACUUUCAAAAAGGAUGCCAAAAGCCUCAUGGGGGAACUAAAAUCUGACCUAGUACCUCUCCCAACAAGUUGCUGCAUGGACUGAGAAGUCAGCAACAACGGAACAAGCUUCAGGCCAAACCUUCCCAAGACUGGUAGUGGUUGAGGCCCAGCCUUGCAGAAUGUUCAGCCUUCCACUGAGGAUUGGCCUUCCCCACCUGCCUCCAUAAAGAGCUCAACUCACAAGUUCUAUUUUGCUUCCAAUAUUCUCCCUCAUCCCACUGGGCAGGGAGCGAGUGAAUGGCUGCAUGCUGUUUAGCUGCCUGCCACAACACCAGCCCAAGACCCUUUCACCUUCAGUGAAGCUCAAAUGCAGCAAGGAGAACCUGCCCCUGGAGGCUGCUAAACCUGCUGACUGCUUCCCACACAGUGCAGUAUUUCCUGCAUUGUAGCUCAGCGGUGACAGCAUCUGGCUUGUCUCCUGGAAGGUGGGAGGUAGCUGUCACGUAGAUGGCUGUUACCGAAGCUGCUAUCCUGAGAGGUGCUGUUGGCACAGAUAUGGAAGAUAUCAAUGAGCAAUGAUCCCCCUCACCUUUCAGUCUCUGUGCUGGAUUAUUCUAUUGAAUAACCUGCUCCAGUCGAUGAAUUCAAGCAUGAACUGAGUCACCAAGUAGCUUCACUGCAGUUAGACAUAUCCACAUGCUGCUUUGAAAUCCUUUUUAAGCCCAGAUAAACCCCUCACACAUGAAUUUUGCAGGUUUUCUUUUCUUUAUAAGCAGUAUUUUAAAUGCUACAGACUACCCCCAGAUUGGCAGACCACCUGCUUUCCUGCAAGGAUUCAGAGUAAAUCCCCAAGCGUUUGCUGGUCCUGGGUGCCAGAAGGACAGCAGAGCUUUCCAAAGGGAAAAAGAAAUAGCUGCAAGGCACCUAGGUACCACAGUUGAAAAAGCAUCAUAAGAAGUCAGAGAAGGCUGUUAAGGAGUGCAGCACAGGAGCUGUGAUGCGGCAGUUCUCACAAGGGACAGCCCAAUCCCUCUUCACUCCCCAUUGCUCUGCUGCCAGUGCCUGCCCUAUGCAAGAGGGGCUCAGUCCCUCCCACCUACUACUGGGGCCCCAUGUGCCAGUGUUUAAGCAGCAGACCCGACACCUGGGGUGACUCCCAGAGGACCAGCACUUAGUGGUUUAAGAGGAAAACUACCAGAGUGGGAACUCGGCUGACCUCACAUCCAUCCCAAGCAAGAGCCCUCUGACCUGCUGACAAGUGACACACCAGAAAAUGUGGGAACCUUCUCUUCUGCCUUCCCAGUCCAGCAUGAAUAAAACUAAAAGCCAGAA
Long non-coding RNA from Numida meleagris (helmeted guineafowl), 2286 nucleotides. RefSeq lists it as uncharacterized. The record is from RefSeq and is a predicted model, not a curated record. The transcript is spliced from 2 exons. NCBI's taxonomy places the organism in Eukaryota, Metazoa, Chordata, Aves, Galliformes, Numididae.